GACGAACGCUGGCGGCGUGCCUAAUACAUGCAAGUUGAGCGCUGAAGGUUGGUACUUGUACCGACUGGAUGAGCAGCGAACGGGUGAGUAACGCGUGGGGAAUCUGCCUUUGAGCGGGGGACAACAUUUGGAAACGAAUGCUAAUACCGCAUAAAAACUUUAAACACAAGUUUUAAGUUUGAAAGAUGCAAUUGCAUCACUCAAAGAUGAUCCCGCGUUGUAUUAGCUAGUUGGUGAGGUAAAGGCUCACCAAGGCGAUGAUACAUAGCCGACCUGAGAGGGUGAUCCGCCCCAUUGGGACUGGAAACCGGCCCAAAAUCCUACCGGAGGCAGCAGUAGGGAAUCUUCGGCAAUGGACGAAAGUCUGAACGAGCAACGCCGCGUGAGUGGAGAAGGUUUUCGGGUCGUAAAACUCUGUUGGUAGAGAAGAACGUUAGUGAGAGUGGAAAGCUCAUCAAGUGACGGUAACUAACCAGAAAGGGACGGCUAACUACGUG
This 497-nucleotide ribosomal RNA is filed under the name uncultured bacterium. RNAcentral's name for it is "partial 16S ribosomal RNA". It matches the Rfam family "Bacterial small subunit ribosomal RNA", at positions 28 to 507 of the family's 1533-position model. The record is from RNAcentral.